GCCGCGUGUGUGAAGAAGGCCUGCGGGUUGUAAAGCACUUUCAGUAGAGAAGAAAAGCUUACGGUUAAUAUCCGUGAGUCUUGACGUAACCUACAGAAGAAGCACCGGCUAACUCCGUGCCAGCAGCCGCGGUAAUAAUCGAAUUCCCGCGGCC
Molecule: ribosomal RNA, 154 nt
Filed under: uncultured Gammaproteobacteria bacterium
Lineage: Bacteria; Pseudomonadati; Pseudomonadota; Gammaproteobacteria
Description: partial 16S ribosomal RNA
Rfam family: Bacterial small subunit ribosomal RNA
Source: RNAcentral